RNAcentral lists this non-coding RNA (1055 nucleotides) under Trichinella pseudospiralis. Its description in RNAcentral is "Eukaryotic small subunit ribosomal RNA". It matches the Rfam family "Eukaryotic small subunit ribosomal RNA", at positions 279 to 1240 of the family's 1831-position model. Lineage: Eukaryota; Metazoa; Nematoda; Enoplea; Trichinellida; Trichinellidae. The record is from Rfam by way of RNAcentral.
UUGUGUCGGCGACGGAUCUUUCAAAUGUCUGCCCUAUCAAUUUGUUGGUAGGUGAUCUGCCUACCAUGAUAAUAACGGGUAACGGGGAAUCAGGGUUCGAUUCCGGAGAGGGAGCCUGAGAAAUGGCUACCACAUCCAAGGACGGCAGCAGGCGCGAAAAUUACCCACUCCCGGCACGGGGAGGUAGUGACGAAAAAUACGAAUACGGGACUCAAUUGAGGCUCCGUAAUUCGAAUGAGUACAAUUUAAAUCCUUUAACGAGGACCAAUUGGAGGGCAAGUCUGGUGCCAGCAGCCGCGGUAACUCCAGCUCCAAAAGCGUAUAUUAAAGUUGCUGCAGUUAAAAAGCUCGUAGUUGAACCUGGGUUGUGCGGUCGCAUGCCGUUGCUUGUUCGCGGUUUUGGUUACGAUCAGAACUUGUGUUCGGCUCGGUGUAGUGGUUGUGCAGCCUUUCAGCCGUAUCUGUGUAAACGGGUGCUGACGGAGAUGGGUGAGUUCUUCUUGCCCGCUAUCUGUUGGCAUGCUUCCGGAUGCCUUUAACCGGGUGUCGGGAGCGGACGGCAUCUUUACUUUGAACAAAUUUGAGUGCUCAAGGCAGGCCUUUGUGCCUAGAAAUUCUUGCAUGGAAUAAUGAAAUAGGACUUCGGUUCUAUUUUGUUGGUUUUCGGAUCCGAAGUAAUGGUUAAGAGGGACAGACGGGGGCAUUUGUAUGGCGGUGUUAGAGGUGAAAUUCUGGGAUCAUCGCCAGACAAACUACAGCGAAAGCAUUUGCCAAGAAUGUUUUCAUUGAUCAGGAGCGAAAGUCAGAGUUUCGAAGACGAUCAGAUACCGUCGUAGUUCUGACCAUAAACGAUGCCAACUGACGAUCCGCGAUGGUUCUAUAAUUGACAUUGCGGGCAGUCCCCGGGAAACCUUUAAGUCUUUGGGCUCCGGGGGAAGUAUGGUUGCAAAGCUGAAACUUAAAGGAAUUGACGGAAGGGCACCACCAGGAGUGGAGCCUGCGGUUUAAUUCGACUCAACACGGGAAAACUCACCCGGCCCGGACACUGUGAGGAU